GUAAAGUGGCGCACGGGUGAGUAACACGUGACUAACCUGCCCUGGAGUGGGGGAUAACUGAGGGAAACCUUAGCUAAUACCGCAUAAUACCUACGGGUCAAAGGAGCAAUUCGCUUUGGGAGGGGGUCGCGGCCGAUUAGUUAGUUGGCGGGGUAAUGGCCCACCAAGACGAUGAUCGGUAUCCGGCCUGAGAGGGCGCACGGACACACUGGAACUGAAACACGGUCCAGACUCCUACGGGAGGCAGCAGUGGGGAAUUUUGCGCAAUGGGGGAAACCCUGACGCAGCAACGCCGCGUGGAGGAUGAAGUCCUUCGGGACGUAAACUCCUUUCGAUCGGGACGAUUAUGACGGUACCGGAAGAAGAAGCCCCGGCUGACUUCGUGCCAGCAGCCGCGGUAAUACGAGGGGGGCGAGCGUUGUUCGGAAUUAUUAGGCGUAAAGGGUGCGUAGGCGGUUUGGUAAGUCUUUUGUGAAAACUCCGGGCUCAACUCGGAGCUUGCAGGAGAAACUGCCGGGCUUGAGUAUGGGAGAGGUGAGUGGAAUUCCUGGUGUAGCGGUGAAAUGCGUAGAUAUCAGGAGGAACACCUGUGGCGAAAGCGGCUCACUGGACCAUAACUGACGCUGAUGCACGAAAGCUAGGGGAGCAAACAGGAUUAGAUACCCUGGUAGUCCUAGCCCUAAACGAUGACUGCUUGGUGUGACGGGUACCCAAUCCCGCCGUGCCGUAGCUAACGCGUUAAGCAGUCCGCCUGGGGAGUACGGUCGCAAGGCUGAAACUCAAAGGAAUCGACGGGGGCCCGCACAAGCGGUGGAGCAUGUGGUUUAAUUCGACGCAACGCGAAGAAC
RNAcentral lists this ribosomal RNA (848 nucleotides) under uncultured bacterium. RNAcentral describes it as "bacterial SSU rRNA". It matches the Rfam family "Bacterial small subunit ribosomal RNA", at positions 90 to 969 of the family's 1533-position model. The record is from RNAcentral.